GUCUGCGCGUUAUUGUCGAUGUGCAGUCUGGCCUGCCCCCUGAAGUUUAAAGGGCCGCGGUAUUUGAACCGUGCUAAGGUAGCAUAAUAAGUAGUCUCUUAAUUGGAGUCUAGUAUGAAUGGUCGGACAUGAAGUAAGCUGUUUCAACUAUAAAAUUUGAAUUUUACUUUUAAGUGAAAAGGCUUAAAUUUUCUGGAGGGACGAUAAGACCCUAUAAAGCUUUACAUUUUAUUUGCAAGUUGUUGGGUUUUAGUUCCCUAUUCUUAUCAAAUAAAUUGUUUCGUUGGGGCGACGAAAAUAUAAGAGUAACUGUUCGUUCACAAAAAAUAGGUUUUUUUAGGAGAAUUGAUCCUUUGUAGAGAUUAAAAGAAUUAAGUUACUUUAGGGAUAACAGCGUGAUUUUUCUUGAGAGUUCAUAUCGACAGAUAUAGUUGCGACCUCGAUGUUGAAUUAAAAUGCCCCCAAGGUGUAGCAGCUUUGGCGGUAGGUCUGUUCGACCUUUAAAAUUUUACAUGAUUUGAGUUCAGACCGGCGUG
RNAcentral lists this ribosomal RNA (536 nucleotides) under Caridina endehensis. Its description in RNAcentral is "partial 16S ribosomal RNA". It matches the Rfam family "Bacterial large subunit ribosomal RNA", at positions 1825 to 2623 of the family's 2925-position model. The record is from RNAcentral. Lineage: Eukaryota; Metazoa; Arthropoda; Malacostraca; Decapoda; Atyidae.